This 343-nucleotide unclassified non-coding RNA is filed under the name soil metagenome. Its description in RNAcentral is "partial contains 5.8S ribosomal RNA, internal transcribed spacer 2, and large subunit ribosomal RNA". The stretch from base 1 to 120 matches the Rfam family "5.8S ribosomal RNA", at positions 35 to 154 of the family's 154-position model. The record is from RNAcentral.
GAUGAAGAACGUAGCGAAAUGCGAUAAGUAAUGUGAAUUGCAGAAUUCAGUGAAUCAUCGAAUCUUUGAACGCACAUUGCGCCCGCUAGUAUUCUGGCGGGCAUGCCUGUCCGAGCGUCAUUUCAACCCUCAAGCCCCCGGGCUUGGUGUUGGGGAUCGGCGAGCCUCCGCGCCCGCCGUCCCCUAAAUCUAGUGGCGGUCUCGCUGUAGCUUCCUCUUCGUAGUAGCACACCUCGCACUGGGAAACAGCGCGGCCACGCCGUUAAACCCCCAACUUCUGAACGUUUGACCUCGGAUCAGGUAGGAAUACCCGCUGAACUUAAGCAUAUCAAUAAGCGGAGGA